RNAcentral lists this transfer RNA (83 nucleotides) under Candidatus Daviesbacteria bacterium. RNAcentral's name for it is "tRNA-Leu". It matches the Rfam family "tRNA". Rfam says of the family: Transfer RNA (tRNA) molecules are approximately 80 nucleotides in length. The record is from RNAcentral. Lineage: Bacteria; Candidatus Daviesiibacteriota.
GCCCAGGUGAUGGAAUGGCAGACAUGUAACGUUUAGGGCGUUAUGCUAGCAAUAGCGUGGAGGUUCAACUCCUCUCCUGGGCA